UUAUCUCCUUAAAAUAUGUUUGCAGCUGACUUAUAGCCUGCUAUUGUACCUGAAGCUCAGGUCUUGACUUCCUCCUUGAUUUUUGUCACCGUCGUUAUUGUGGAGAGCUUUUUAUGUUGGAACUUGGAAGGCUCUUUGGCUCAUUUUCUUUUACAAAUCCCAAGCAGAUUCUGUUUGGUAUACCUUAGGGAAACUUCAGGCCUAAUCUUUCAGUGGUCAGACGCAGAAUCAAUCCACUUGUUCGUCCUCUCAAAACAAGCAUAAUAUUAGUAUACAUUAUAAUCAGAACCUGUGGCUGAUUGAGCAGGAUUUGACACUACAGUUCGAACUGUAUACUACUCUAUUGACUGAUGGACUGCCCACUCCUAGCUGGCUAGCAAGUAGCAAGUAGAGAAGCUGCAUUGUCAUAGCAAAACCGCGUCGUUGCGUUUAUCUUGUAUAUAUAUGGGGGGCAAAGCCUUGGACGUGAGAACUACAGCCGAGUGAUCUACCAGCUUCAGAUUUCAGAGAGCGAUUGAUCAAGUGUAGUAGAGCGAGCUCCAUCUGCGGCCAUGGGAGCAGCUCGUCGGCUUCGCUUCGGGCUACGAGCGCCAGCGGCGUCGGCCAUGUCGGUCCUACUACUGCUGCUGCCGUCGUCGCUUUCGCUCGCGCUCUCGCCGCCGCCGCCGCCGCCCUUCUUCCCUCCGCAGUGGGCGCCGCCGGUGGCCGGCGGCGGUGGCCCUUUCGCUGGUCGACGUGGAAUGUAUCGUUGGCCAGGCCCCAGGACAUAGCAAGCCAAUCUAAGGGUUUAUUUGGGGGAGCUUUAAAUUUUGAGAAGCAGCUGUUUGGUAGCCAGCUUCUGAGAAUCUGGAAAAGCUCUGAAACCUAGCUUUUAUAUCUUCUGGCUUUUUAGUUCAUUUUUCAGAAUCUUAGACUGUUUGGGGCAGCUUCUAGCAGAAGCAGCUUUUAGGAAAAGCUGCAGCUGGGACAAACUCUCCCAAACAGGGCCUAAGUAGCACAUAGAUCACAUCUAUUUUAAAUUCUUCUGAAACUUGUUGAUGUGUGUCCAUUGCCAAAGACUGGAGAUAUAAUCUAUUUUCAUUAUUAAAAAAAUAGCACAUAGCUAGAAAUUCAUGCCCAAAAGUUUGUAUUCGAGUCUAUGUAAAUUUGCUCCAAACGUAUCUGAAACUGUUGAAUAAAGAUGAACUAUCUGCUCAUACGAAUAAAAUUAUUUGAAACUAGGAAAGACCGAUAUGUGGUGGUUCAUCUGGUUCAAAUCAUGCUGCUCAUAAAUAUCACACCACGAAAAUGCUUUCAAUAAAAUUGUAACUAUAUUAAGAGUGUUUCUUAUAGGAUGUGUUAAAGCGCACAUUCAUGCGUAUAUGCGCAUGUGUAUGUCUUCCCUUAAAUGAAAAAAAUAUGUAAUUUUUAAAAAAUAAAAUGAAAAAAAAGUUUGGAAUUUACAUGAGAUUUUUUUGAGAGGAAAAAAAACUUGCUACUAGAAAGUUAAUUAAGAGAGAGAAUGGAAUACAUCUAUGAGGACGGCCUGCCCACAGCCCAACAUCAACAAGGCCCGACCCAACCUUGUUUUGUCACCCUCCCUUUCUCUCUUUCUCCAACUCUUCGACGGCGUCGACCCUGUCGCGCCGCCGCGGAGCGGCGGAGGAAGACGAGACGAUGGGCGGCGCAGGCGCGGCGGAAGGCGGCAGGUUUGCCAGGCCGGCGCCGUCUUCUCCAAGCAGAUGUGCAAGCCAGACUUCUUAAUUCAUUUGAACAUGCCUCAUUAUCCCAACCAGGAGAUGGAAUCGUAGGAUCUUGGUGCCUGUGGUAGCAAGAGAGGAAGUCCAUCCAUUGGAUGAGAUUUUUGAGACAUCGCCUGUACAUCAACCAAGGAUGGAACUGAUCAACUGUAGAUCCAGCUAAAAAUUGCAUUUUUUUUAACGCAAAGAAAAGAUUGACAAGGUAAUAUUACGUCAAUAAUCACAUUAUCUGUUUUACCCAGAUGGACAGUUGUUGAUGAAUUUAUAUAGGUAGGAAGAUGACAACGUACUUGACUUGCGUGAAUUUUGCAUGGUCACCACCAUGUAUUUUUUUGCUGACAAUGAUGUUCCACUUGCUAGUUACCUUGUGUAAUUAUUGCUGACGUUACUUUUGCAUGGUCACCACCAUGUAUUUUUUAGCUGACAAUGAUGUUCCACUUGUUAGUUAACUUGUGUAAAUUCAAAACUAAUUACGUCAGGUUGGAAUAUUACACAGUAUACUAACGGUUUCAGCCAAAAGAAUGAGACAGAAACAGAGGGUGCCGACUUGA
This is a non-coding RNA of Oryza sativa Japonica Group (Japanese rice), 2290 nucleotides long. The record is from RefSeq and is a predicted model, not a curated record. Lineage: Eukaryota; Viridiplantae; Streptophyta; Magnoliopsida; Poales; Poaceae.